Long non-coding RNA from Brassica oleracea var. oleracea, 165 nucleotides. RefSeq lists it as uncharacterized. The transcript has 3 exons. NCBI's taxonomy places the organism in Eukaryota, Viridiplantae, Streptophyta, Magnoliopsida, Brassicales, Brassicaceae. The record is from RefSeq and is a predicted model, not a curated record.
GGUGUUUUUCCGUGAAGAGGAUUGGGAAAAAGUUAGAACUUGGUCAACUUCCUCCACACGUCUACGGAUUGGACCUGCCACUUUAGAUUUUGAGAUUGCUAAUCGUCUUAUGGAUAAAUCUGAGUGGGUUGAUAGCUUGGAGAUUGACGCCGCAAUGUACAUAUU